RNAcentral lists this ribosomal RNA (510 nucleotides) under uncultured bacterium. Its description in RNAcentral is "bacterial SSU rRNA". It matches the Rfam family "Bacterial small subunit ribosomal RNA", at positions 28 to 529 of the family's 1533-position model. The record is from RNAcentral.
GAUGAACGCUAGCGGGAGGCUUAACACAUGCAAGUCGAGGGGCAGCAUAGGGUAGCAAUACUCUGAUGGCGACCGGCAAACGGGUGAGUAACGCGUAUGCAACCUACCCUGUACAGGGGGAUAACCCGGAGAAAUUCGGACUAAUAUCCCGUAAUAAUAUCCGGAGGCAUCUUUGGAUAUUUAAAGUUUCGACGGUACGGGAUGGGCAUGCGUAACAUUAGCUGGUUGGUAAGGUAACGGCUUACCAAGGCUAUGAUGUUUAGGGGUCCUGAGAGGGUGGUCCCCCACACUGGUACUGAGACACGGACCAGACUCCUACGGGAGGCAGCAGUGAGGAAUAUUGGUCAAUGGGCGCAAGCCUGAACCAGCCAUCCCGCGUGCAGGAAGACGGCCCUAUGGGUUGUAAACUGCUUUUCCAGGGAGAGAAACUUACGCACGUGUUGCGUGACUGACGGUACCCUGGGAAUAAGCAUCGGCUAACUCCGUGCCAGCAGCCGCGGUAAGCACGAG